Mauremys mutica (yellowpond turtle) is the source of this 635-nucleotide long non-coding RNA. RefSeq lists it as uncharacterized. NCBI's taxonomy places the organism in Eukaryota, Metazoa, Chordata, Testudines, Geoemydidae. The record is from RefSeq and is a predicted model, not a curated record. The transcript is spliced from 3 exons.
UUCAGGCUGCAGUCAUAUAUCUGAACUCUGCCCAGGCACGAGGGUCUGAGCUAACAGCUCCUCAUACAGGAACAGAUCCGGACAUACUUGGAGAUAGGUAUGGGGGGAAAGAAGUCCAGAUCCAGGAAAAUUAAAGAACUUAAACCAGUACAGAUGAAGAUAGGAUAUAGACAUCCAUUGCUCCAGGUGCUACUGCAAAUAGAGGGGUCCUUACUUGAGAGUAAGGAGGGGAUUUCGUCAGUUGUGGGGGCAUGCCAUCUGUGUGCCUUCAUCCUCUGUUGCCCCAAUGACUUUCUACUUAGAAACAAAGGAAGAGCACCAAUGGGGUGGAGGAAAGGAUUUGCUGGAAUCAUUUGUGUUUCUGUGGAGGACAUAACUACUUGCCCAAAGGGGAAACUUACCGAGUAUGCUCUGCAGCUUCCUAAAGCCGGUGUAGAAAGUCAUCAUUAAGGCCAGAUUCUCAGCAACCAUACAAACUAAGCAGAGGAAGUCACUCAGAUCUGUGCAAAUGGAUAAGGCUAAAAGGAUUCAUAGCUUCUGCUCACUGGUAAGGCAGAACUGUUUGGUUCUGAACCGAGGGGCACUACGGUUCCAUUUCCACUUCUGAAGAGUCAUGUGAUAUACAUUAUCCAUUA